UGGCGGUGAUGAAAAAAAAGGCCGGACUUACGGCUGCUACUAUUUGGUUGGUAGUAGAUUGAUGAAACUAUGUCUGAGGUAUUACUUCUGAGCCAA
Salvia hispanica is the source of this 96-nucleotide small nucleolar RNA. RefSeq annotates it as small nucleolar RNA snoR113. Lineage: Eukaryota; Viridiplantae; Streptophyta; Magnoliopsida; Lamiales; Lamiaceae. The record is from RefSeq and is a predicted model, not a curated record.